GAUGAACGCUGGCGGCGUGCCUAAUACAUGCAAGUCGAGCGAACAGAUAAGGAGCUUGCUCCUUUGACGUUAGCGGCGGACGGGUGAGUAACACGUGGGUAACCUACCUAUAAGACUGGAAUAACUCCGGGAAACCGGGGCUAAUGCCGGAUAACAUUUAGAACCGCAUGGUUCUAAAGUGAAAGAUGGUUUUGCUAUCACUUAUAGAUGGACCCGCGCCGUAUUAGCUAGUUGGUAAGGUAACGGCUUACCAAGGCAACGAUACGUAGCCGACCUGAGAGGGUGAUCGGCCACACUGGAACUGAGACACGGUCCAGACUCCUACGGGAGGCAGCAGUAGGGAAUCUUCCGCAAUGGGCGAAAGCCUGACGGAGCAACGCUGCGUGAGUGAUGAAGGUCUUCGGAUCGUAAAACUCUGUUAUUAGGGAAGAACAAAUGUGUAAGUAACUGUGCACGUCUUGACGGUACCUAAUCAGAAAGCCACGGCUAACUACGUG
RNAcentral lists this ribosomal RNA (497 nucleotides) under uncultured bacterium. RNAcentral's name for it is "partial 16S ribosomal RNA". It matches the Rfam family "Bacterial small subunit ribosomal RNA", at positions 28 to 507 of the family's 1533-position model. The record is from RNAcentral.